RNAcentral lists this ribosomal RNA (253 nucleotides) under uncultured bacterium. Its description in RNAcentral is "partial 16S ribosomal RNA". It matches the Rfam family "Bacterial small subunit ribosomal RNA", at positions 524 to 776 of the family's 1533-position model. The record is from RNAcentral.
UACGUAGGGUGCGAGCGUUAAUCGGAAUUACUGGGCGUAAAGAGUGCGUAGGCGGAUAUGUAAGUUAGAUGUGAAAUACCUGGGCUUAACCUGGGAGGUGCAUUUAAGACUGUGUAUCUAGAGUUUGUCAGAGGGGGGUAGAAUUCCAAGUGUAGCAGUGAAAUGCGUAGAGAUUUGGAGGAAUACCGAUGGCGAAGGCAGCCCCCUGGGAUAAGACUGACGCUGAGGCACGAAAGCGUGGGUAGCAAACAGG